Molecule: ribosomal RNA, 578 nt
Filed under: uncultured Lachnospiraceae bacterium
Lineage: Bacteria; Bacillati; Bacillota; Clostridia; Lachnospirales; Lachnospiraceae
Description: bacterial SSU rRNA
Rfam family: Bacterial small subunit ribosomal RNA
Source: RNAcentral
CCUCAAAGAGGGGGACAACAGUUGGAAACGACUGCUAAUACCGCAUAAGCCCACAGGUCGGCAUCGACCAGAGGGAAAAGGAGCAAUCCGCUUUGAGAUGGCCUCGCGUCCGAUUAGCUAGUUGGUGAGGUAACGGCCCACCAAGGCAACGAUCGGUAGCCGGACUGAGAGGUUGAACGGCCACAUUGGGACUGAGACACGGCCCAGACUCCUACGGGAGGCAGCAGUGGGGAAUAUUGCACAAUGGGGGAAACCCUGAUGCAGCGACGCCGCGUGGAGGAAGAAGGUCUUCGGAUUGUAAACUCCUGUUGUUGAGGAAGAUAAUGACGGUACUCAACAAGGAAGUGACGGCUAACUACGUGCCAGCAGCCGCGGUAAAACGUAGGUCACAAGCGUUGUCCGGAAUUACUGGGUGUAAAGGGAGCGCAGGCGGGAAGACAAGUUGGAAGUGAAAUCUAUGGGCUCAACCCAUAAACUGCUUUCAAAACUGUUUUUCUUGAGUAGUGCAGAGGUAGGCGGAAUUCCCGGUGUAGCGGUGGAAUGCGUAGAUAUCGGGAGGAACACCAGUGGCGAAGGCG